AGUGAACGCUGGCGGUAGGCCUAACACAUGCAAGUCGAACGGCAGCACAGUAAGAGCUUGCUCUUACGGGUGGCGAGUGGCGGACGGGUGAGGAAUACAUCGGAAUCUACUUUUUCGUGGGGGAUAACGUAGGGAAACUUACGCUAAUACCGCAUACGACCUACGGGUGAAAGCAGGGGAUCUUCGGACCUUGCGCGAUUGAAUGAGCCGAUGUCGGAUUAGCUAGUUGGCGGGGUAAAGGCUCACCAAGGCGACGAUCCGUAGCUGGUCUGAGAGGAUGAUCAGCCACACUGGAACUGAGACACGGUCCAGACUCCUACGGGAGGCAGCAGUGGGGAAUAUUGGACAAUGGGCGCAAGCCUGAUCCAGCCAUACCGCGUGGGUGAAGAAGGCCUUCGGGUUGCAAAGCCCUUUUGUUGGGAAAGAAAAGCAGCAGGUUAAUACCCCGCUGUUCUGACGGUACCCAAAGAAUAAGCACCGGCUAACUUCGUG
RNAcentral lists this ribosomal RNA (492 nucleotides) under uncultured bacterium. RNAcentral describes it as "partial 16S ribosomal RNA". It matches the Rfam family "Bacterial small subunit ribosomal RNA", at positions 29 to 507 of the family's 1533-position model. The record is from RNAcentral.